Molecule: long non-coding RNA, 538 nt
Filed under: Mytilus galloprovincialis (Mediterranean mussel)
Lineage: Eukaryota; Metazoa; Mollusca; Bivalvia; Mytilida; Mytilidae
Source: RNAcentral
UGAAUCUGAAAACGCAUCACACGGUAUAGCUGACUUAUAUAAAUCCUGUAGCCAAAUUUCAGAAAUCCUUGUAUUGUAGUUCCUGAGAAAAAUGUGACGAAAAUUUUCAACUUGGCUAUCAUGUGUAAAAUCAUACAAGUGUUCGGUAAACAGGAAGUUGUCGAGUGAUGAAUCUGAAAACGCAUCACACGGUGUAGCUGACUUAUAUAAAUCCUGAAACCAAAUUUCAGAAAUCCUUGUAUUGUAGUUCCUGAGAAAAAUGUGACGAAAAUUUUCAACUUGGCUAUCAUGUGUAAAUCAGACAAGUGUUCGGUAAACAGGAAGUUGUCAAGUGAUGAAUCUGAAAACGCAUCACACGGUGUGGCUGACAUAUAUAAAUGUUGAUACCAAAUUACAGAAAGGGUGGAUGUGUAGUUCCUGAGAAAAAUGUGACGAAAGUUUCAUGGGACGGACUGACUGACUGACGGACGGACGGACUGACAGACAGAGGUAAAACAGUAUACCCCCCCUUUUUUAAAGCGGGGGUAUAAUAAACAGU